Molecule: long non-coding RNA, 4061 nt
Organism: Xyrauchen texanus (razorback sucker)
Lineage: Eukaryota; Metazoa; Chordata; Actinopteri; Cypriniformes; Catostomidae
Exons: 9
Source: RefSeq, a predicted model, not a curated record
GUAGAAUCCGCUAUCAUUGGCUCUGGGACGUGUGACGUGACGGGACGUGUUGUCUUCUUGGAAGCUAGCCAGUUACUACAGGCGGCAAUUUGAGAAGCAGUGUGAAGAAGAUUGUACGUCAACGUCGUUCGUUAGCGUUAACAUGGGUGGCGAGACGGAAGACGAAGAUGACAGUGUGUUCACAAAGACGGACAGGCCAGUAAAAAGAAAAUUAAACGUUCGACAUACUUUAAUAAUGACUGGUUGAAAAAUGACAAUUACUCCACAACACCAGGCGACCCACUUUAUGCUACCUGCUCCGUAUGCUCAGUUAAAAUUCUGGUUAAACAUGAAGGCAAAACUGCUUUGGAUGACCAUGCUAAAACAAAGAAACAUCAGAGUCGCGUUCAAGUAACCAGACAAGCCAAGGCAAUUUCAUCAUUCAUGAUUACAAAAAACUCAGAGGACAAGAUUACUGUCGCCGAAUUAACAGCUACCUAUCACGGUGUGCGACAUGGCCAUAGCUACCUGUCAACUGACUGUGGGAACAAGAUCUGCUAAGCACUUCCCCACUGUCAGACAGCCUCUCCCCGUGCUGCACGCACAGGACCCAAUAAGACUGGUGGACAUAUCUUCGUACUGGACCAUGGCCGGUGGACGCAACCCAUGAGAGAUGCCAUUGAUGGACUCCUAGCAAAGAACCAUGGGAAGAAAGACAUGCUGAAGCAGGUGGAUGCUGACUAUGCUGCCCUUGUGCACAGAUCUUGCAGAGACCCCAAUUGUCUCCAUCCAACCGCAAGGCAGCAGAUCUCUCGGUAUGUGAAACACCUUGCCAAGCUAAUAAACACCAGCUCCUCUUUGAACACCAGCCCAGAGAAGCUGUUGGAGACUCAGCAGCUUUGGCAGCGUCUGACAGUCAGUGUACCAGUCACAGCCUUGAAACCUGCUCCUGUAAAUCCACCAGUGGGGAGUCCUUCCCAGGAUGCUCCUCUGACCCAGGCUACACUUGUGACGAUGGUGAAGGAGAUUGUGGAGAGGCAGCUAGCAGCUGCAACAACCACAACAGCCAAAGAAAAACAGGACUUGUCUCAGUUGUGGGCAGCCAAAAUCUCGUUACCUUGGCGACGGCUCCUCUGUCCAUUUUUUUUACCAGUCAGCAGAGGUGAAGUACUGCUCCAAAAAAGUCUUCAUGACCUACGCAGUGGAAGGACACACCAAUCCCCAGAAUGUGCUUUGAGGAUUUUGCAUCAACUGCCUUCUUCCAGCGGGAGCUCGACACCUCAAAACAGAGAGGGGCAGAACAAAAGAGGGUAACAAGAGAGGAAAAAGAGGAAAUCUGUAGAGCUUCAUCCUCCUGGUCGCCUGUGCAGGUCCUGUCAUUUGCCUCGCAAACAAGGCCCCAACAACUCUCACAUCCAUGCCCAUUUCCCUGGAGUCCCAGGAAAGUACAUUUACUGUCCCACCAAGGUUUUGUACAUUAUGAAGAAGAUGGUGUUCUUUCCCGGGAUGAGGACAUUUCAGUUUAGAAGAGGCCCAUCGGGGCAUUUAAGACAGGACCCCUCCGCUGAGGCAAUGACAAUAAAAAACAACCCCUCCCUGCAAGACUAAUCUGCACCUCAACUGGAGGAGGUCGUCAAGGCCAAUGCCCACUCUGAAGUGCUUCUGAGAGGAGAUGAUGUAUCUGACAGGCAGAAGGUGUUAGGCGACUACAUCCUCCAGUUUGGCAAAUACAAAGGCAAGUCCUUUCGUUGGCUGCUGGAGAAUGAUGUUGACUGGUAAGGUUGAACAGGAGGAGAAUGCUGGACAGUUCAACCAAGUCGGCCACAGAAAGGACAGCCUACUGUCUUUUCUUGAGUACUCCAGGAGCUUCAAGGAAGUUGAGGUCCUUCUUGGGUUCCUCUCCGAGAGACCUGCAGCACCUGCUGUGGCAAGAGAUGACAACCUUGUUGGCUUUGGGGCCAAAGCUCAAAACACCUGGGAGCAGAUAUGCAAAAGCAGGGCUGAUGGGUACGCUUCAUUCAUCAUGAUGACAAAGUGUGUCCCUGGCAGUAAACUGCACAAGCUCCAGCAGUACCUGUUGAGGCAGAGCCAGCUGCUGACUACAUCUCCAGCUCCUCCCCCCACUGUUGUUGGCCCCAUUGCCAACAGUCACCUCAACCAUUACCUGUGAUCUUCCAGUGAUGGAGGAGGAUGAGGAUUUGGAGAAGGAAAUGAUGAGCCUGUACCCUUCAAAGUUCCUCACCCAGCUCAGUGAACGACUGUGACUUUGUUGAACCAAAACAGAAUUAUUCUUCCAUAUUUUAGUUUAUCAUUUGGCCGUGUUCUGGCCUGUUCUGAUGCUUGUGUUCUACUAAUAACUGUUCCAAGGACUUAACGUAACAGCAGAGAGGGCACGCAUGCAUUUUGUAGAUUUGUUACCAGGUUGAAAGCUCUACAUUCUGUACAAUCCACCUUUUAUUCUUAGAAACACUGAUUUCUCUCUGAAUAAUGUUUCAUAAUGUUAUUUUGAUUAGCCCCCGUAGUUCCAGUGAAGGUGCCAGUGCCUCCUCAGCUGCUUGCCUUGGCUCUAUCUCUGACUCCACGUCCUCUGUCAGAGCAAGAUACACUUGGCAAAACAGUGCCACAGCCCCGAGAGCCGGUGAAGAGGGAGGAAGAUGUGCUUCACCGCUUCUUUCUGGCCAAGGACCCAGAUGAUGUGCUCCUGUUCAAGCCAUCCAUGCUGAAGGAGUGGAGGAUACACUCUCCUACCGGGAGUGUUUGACCCCAUUUUAAUUGCAGAGCUCAACAUGGCAUCCACGAAAGUGACUGGGCAGGCCAAAUAUCCAGCGUUUCACAUGCCCAGAGACACAGGCGAGAGGUUUGGACUCCAGUAUGUGGAGCCAGGCUGUCGACCUGUUCCACUGGACUAGGAGAAGCACAAUUCCCAGAAUACAGUCCCACCUUUUAGGGAGGAAGAGACAGACCAGCUGUCCACCCAGCAGGUCUCACUACUACUUGUGUUGUUCCACCAUCCUGCUGCCCCUGCGUCCUCCUCAGCACCUACUGAAGAGAACAUUUCUCAGGAGAUGGACAUAGCACGUGUCCUGGUGUCUCUCAGUGCUGAGACCUGUGCCUUCCCACCAACAGAGGAGCUGGUAGAGUCCACUCCAAAAGAGGAAUACGCAUCGUCUGAGAAACAAACAGGUGGAAGAUGUGCUUCACCACUUCUUUUUGACCAAGGAGAUGUGCUCCUGUUCAAGCCAUCCAUGCUAAAAGAGUGGAGGAUACAACGCGUCCACAUCCUGAGGCUGCCUGAGCGACCCAGAAGUGGGGGAAUGGAUGCUCUACAGGAAUGGUGGAACCCUGCAGCUGAACCACGUAAAAGGGGAAGGAGCUGCUGUUCCUAUCUGGAUCUCUGUCAGAGGAACCUCUCAGCAUGAGCACUUUCACCAGGCUCGGUGGUGACAGGCUACAACGUCUCUACCGAGCUAUUCCAGGCCCAGGGGAUGACCGGAGUGGUUCACUGGAACUUCCAGAGGCUGGGUGGACCUGAAGCUGCCUAACGUGGUCCUACCGGAAGGGUUUGACCCAGUUUUAAGAGACAGCCAGAGACAGGGGCGAGAGGUUAGGACUCCAGUAUGUGGAGCCAGGCUGUUCCACUGGACUGGGAGAAGCACAAUUCCCAGAAGACAGUCCCACGUCUUAGGGAGGAAGAGACAGACCAGCCCUCCACCCAGCAGGUCUCACUACUACCUGUGGUGUUCCACCAUCCUGCUGCCCCUGCGUCCUCCUCAGCACCUACUGAAGAGAACAUCUCUCAAGAGAUGGAAGUAGCACGUGUCCUGAUGUCUCUCAGUGCGGAGACCUGUGCCUUCCCACCAACAGAGGAGCUGGUGGAGCCCUCACAGUGGUUUGCCACUCCAAAAGAAGAAUGCAGAUCGUCUGAGAGACAAACAGGUCACAGCAUUAAAGAAGUCUUUAAGAAGUGAUGGGCACCAUGUUGUUGGGGCUGAGGAUCUCAAUCCAAUAACCAUCCGGAUCCUGAAUAAAGGCUAGGCCUUUCAUUUUACCUGCAGGAUAGAAAAAUUGACAGAGAUCAAGGC